CAGGAACUCCUUUCUCAGGGGGUAUUUUAAGGGGUAAUUCUCCUGCCUGGGUAUCCGCUUUCAGCUCUAUAGUAGUGCUGGGCGGGAAAAUUCGCUGCUCGCCAAAAAUUAAAUAAAUUGUACAUAGAACACAGUAUUGGGAAGUGCUAACGUGAUGUUUUUCUUUUUUUCAGCGAGCGAUGAACAAAGUGUUCAAGCGUUUGAGGCGUUUUUUCCCUUGCUUCGGCAAGGAGAAGCCCACUGAGGAGCCCCAGGAAUUUAUCUGCCUGGUACCAUCGGUUGGAUCUGGCAACGCCGUUUGCCAAGAGGAGAAACCAGAGCACAAAAUGGAGCCGGCUAUAGACAACUGCCGGG
Molecule: long non-coding RNA, 354 nt
Organism: Xenopus tropicalis (tropical clawed frog)
Lineage: Eukaryota; Metazoa; Chordata; Amphibia; Anura; Pipidae
Exons: 4
Source: RefSeq, a predicted model, not a curated record